This is a small nuclear RNA of Carlito syrichta (Philippine tarsier), 107 nucleotides long. The record is from Ensembl. NCBI's taxonomy places the organism in Eukaryota, Metazoa, Chordata, Mammalia, Primates, Tarsiidae.
CUGCUCACUUUGACAGCACAUAUACAAAUAUUGGAACAAUACAGGGAAGAUUAGCAUGGCCACUGCGCAAUGAUCACAUGUAAAUUCGUGAAGCGUUCCAUGUUUUU